GGUCCAGCCCAGCUGGGACAGUGAAGGUUCCCUGUUCAAGGGGACUCUGUUCCUUGGACAAUGAUUGCUUCCUUUAUGCUCUGGAGUCCAGCAGAGACUGACACACAGUUGGGGCUAAACACGUCUGAGGGUGAUGAAACUCCCAUUUCUGACGCCGUCAACUUGUUUUCUGUAAUGUUAGCCCUGCCAUAUUCCAGCUCGACAGAGCUUGGGCAGCCCGAGGUGGUGACUGUAUUUGGCCAUCAGCCAUGUCCCUUGCAGGGCCAGUCUCUGAG
Molecule: long non-coding RNA, 275 nt
Filed under: Homo sapiens (human)
Lineage: Eukaryota; Metazoa; Chordata; Mammalia; Primates; Hominidae
Description: HSALNT0391859
Source: RNAcentral